Molecule: ribosomal RNA, 537 nt
Filed under: uncultured Pseudomonadota bacterium
Lineage: Bacteria; Pseudomonadati; Pseudomonadota
Description: bacterial SSU rRNA
Rfam family: Bacterial small subunit ribosomal RNA
Source: RNAcentral
AGAGUUUGAUCAUGGCUCAGAACGAACGCUGGCGGCGUGCCUAACACAUGCAAGUCGAACGAGAAAGGGGCUUCGGCCCUGAGUAAAGUGGCGCACGGGUGAGUAACACGUAGGUAACCUGCCUCUAAGAUUGGGAUAACAUGUCGAAAGACGUGCUAAUACCGAAUGAGACCACAGUUUCCUCGGAAACAGGGGUCAAAGGUAGCCUCUAUUUAUAAGCUAUCACUUGGAGAUGGGCCUGCGUACCAUUAGCUAGUUGGUAGGGUAACGGCCUACCAAGGCAAAGAUGGUUAGCUGGUCUGAGAGGAUGAUCAGCCACACUGGAACUGAGACACGGUCCAGACUCCCACGGGAGGCAGCAGUGGGGAAUAUUGCGCAAUGGGCGAAAGCCUGACGCAGCAACGCCGCGUGAGUGAUGAAGGCCUUCGGAUCGUAAAGCUCUGUCGGAGGGAACGAAUGUUUCUGAGGUUAACAGCCUCAGGAAGUGACGGUACCCUCAAGGAAGCACCGGCUAACUCUGUGCCAGCAGCCGCGGUA